UGACUUGUUUCUGAACACAUAAUGUUGCUGAACCUAGACCUGAACCUAGACCUGAACCUAGACCUGACGAGCUGCAGCAACCUCAGAUCCCAGACUGCCC
Molecule: long non-coding RNA, 100 nt
Organism: Melanotaenia boesemani (Boeseman's rainbowfish)
Lineage: Eukaryota; Metazoa; Chordata; Actinopteri; Atheriniformes; Melanotaeniidae
Exons: 3
Source: RefSeq, a predicted model, not a curated record